Molecule: ribosomal RNA, 510 nt
Filed under: uncultured Glomus
Lineage: Eukaryota; Fungi; Glomeromycota; Glomeromycetes; Glomerales; Glomeraceae
Description: SSU rRNA
Rfam family: Eukaryotic small subunit ribosomal RNA
Source: RNAcentral
AGCAGCCGCGGUAAUUCCAGCUCCAAUAGCGUAUAUUAAAGUUGUUGCAGUUAAAAAAGCUCGUAGUUGAAUUUCGGGAUCAAUCUAUCGGUCGUGCAAUAGUACGUACUGAUUUUAUUGAUUCCUCCCUUCUGAUGAACUAUGAUGUCAUUAAUUUGGUGUCAUAGGGAAUCAGGACUGUUACUUUGAAAAAAUUAGAGUGUUUAAAGCAGGCUCACGCUUGAAUACAUUAGCAUGGAAUAACGAAAUAGGACGUUUGAUUCUAUUUUGUUGGUUUCUAGGAUCGACGUAAUGAUUAAUAGGGAUAGUUGGGGGCAUUAGUAUUCAAUUGUCAGAGGUGAAAUUCUUGGAUUUAUUGAAGACUAACUACUGCGAAAGCAUUUGCCAAGGAUGUUUUCAUUAAUCAAGAACGAAAGUUAGGGGAUCGAAGACGAUCAGAUACCGUCGUAGUCUUAACCAUAAACUAUGCCGACUAGGGAUCGGAUGAUGUUAAUUUUUAAUGACUCAUUC